Molecule: long non-coding RNA, 2231 nt
Organism: Lates calcarifer (barramundi perch)
Lineage: Eukaryota; Metazoa; Chordata; Actinopteri; Centropomidae
Exons: 3
Source: RefSeq, a predicted model, not a curated record
AAAAAAAAAAAACGCUCUGAUGAUGCUGUUUAUCUGUGUGUGUCGGGACUGGAGGUUUAUUACAGUGAACUGCAUUUUCCACCUUGAAAAAAUGUAACCGUGAUAUAAGUAACAUUUGUGUAAAACUCUUUGCACCAGGCUAUAUUCGUGUUUAAAAUCUAUAAAUUAUACCUUGGCUCUAAGUUAUCAGAUAUUAAAUAGACUUUGUUUCAACAAUGAUAUGUUUCAUUCACAAAUGUCACCACGGUUCAACUGUUUAUGCCCCUCGCGGGAUUUUUUUCCCCCUAUGACAAUUAUCAGUCCUUAUUUAUUAUAUAUAUGUUUUCUGUGACAGGCACGACUCCCGCAAUAAGUCAUUCAACUCAACUAGAGCAGUAGCACAUCUUAAAUAAGAAAAUACAAAUCUAAACACAAUAAAAGAGAAAAGCAGAACGGAAGGAGGUAGAUUUUCUUCAUCUGUGGUUUGCUUAUUUUUCAGGUUUUUCACGGCUGCGUCUUCCCUCUACAACAAACAGCAAAUGAGUUGGUCAGCUGCCUGAUCAAGCCCACUGCAGCAUUUCAGCUCAAGCCAAGCAGGAGCUCUUCAAAUAAGACCCUCCACAUGGGCCACAUCUGACAGACCACAAGCAUCUACAGACAAGGGAGAACAACAGCGAGACAAACAACAAGCAGGAGAAGAAGUGAUCAAGACCAGUGGUUCAACCAGGCAUCGAAAGCAUCGCCAGCAAAAUUCAAAACUGUUUCAUUUCACGAACCAGGUUAGCACAGAGUGACUACAGUACACAGCAGCAUAGGAAGGAAAACAAAGUUAGCGUGUAAUGUAGUAUUUCGUUAAAAAUGGAUGCAGCCUGAUCAUCACAAGGGAAAAAAAGCCCACCAGGAACAAAAAUCUGUUAUAUGUUCAGAAAAAUCAUUUGAUUUCAUCGAUCAAAUUGUUUUGUUUCUGAAAGUUAUCGUUUUUUACUUGAUACUACUUACUACACCUCUGAUCGAAACUUUAAAGGAAUGGGCAGGACUGCAGACUACUGACCAUUUGUGGCUGGGUUCAGAUAGUUUACCAUUAUUUGAGAUCAGACAUGAAUCUGGGCGAGAUAGUAACAGAACAGUAAAUGGGUAUAUACACUAUUAAAUGUCCUAUGUGCAGUAUUUGACAAUAAAUAUAUCGGUCACAGUAGCGUCAUAAUGUAAGAGAGAAACAAACCUCUAAAUUUUUAUUUAGGGUCCCUGCUGUGGUGAAAACACAACAGCAUGAAGACAAAAAUCUACAUACAGUUAACCUGUCAUUGAGAUACACUGAUAUCCUAUCAAUCUAUUGCCAUCAGGGAUCAGAGAUGGUGCUAUUGGUCCAAUCAAAUGGAAAAAAAACGAUGUUCAGAACGUAGUGAUGAGGAAACAAUACAGAUGUAUCAAUAGCAUGGUCAGAGCAUCAACUGCUUUACUGUGUAUGACCUCUUAUAUACUGUAUGUUUAUCUACACACUGUGGACCCCUCUGUUUGUACUAUAACGCUGCAGGCCGGAUGGCAGCAGGGGUUAAAGAACGGUUAAUGUGUCCCAGUUUAAAGACACGUGUUCAGAUGUGCUCAUGGGGACUGAAAUAGACCUACAUAAGAGACCUUUUUUAUUUUUUACUCUGCUGCUACUUGUCCUUUGAAUCCAGCCAUCAAACAUUCUGACUGUAUUAAAAGGUUGUGAAAUAGGAAACUGCUAAGAAAUCUAUUGCCAGUAUUGAUUUUCAUAAAGAUGUGACAAUUUAAAUAUACAGCGUAAAUAUUUAUACAUUUAUCAAUAGAAUUAGAUUAAAACAUUUAAAAAAUUGACUAAUUAUUUUAGUUCACUAUUUGAAAAAUAAAUAAAUAAAUGCAAAAUUUAAAGCUGAGAAAUUACAGGUUUAUUUAGUUGUUUUCUCUUUGGGGCUUAAAAUAAAAAUAGAAACUUGUCAAACUACCAUUCUAUUAGAUAAAAUCCUUUGUGGGUUCACAAAAAAAUGUGUCAGCAAUGGAAUAAAAUAUCAGAUGGUGUCAAAACUUAGAUGCCAAACCCUAUUUUCAUUUACAUACUGUAUUAAGUGUUUUAUAUUUUUUGGGCUGCAGGUAAAUACCUGCAGUUUGUAAACCCACCUGACCUCACUCACAGCAUUUUAAAUUUUAUAAUAAAAAUACUUUGUUAAAGUUCUCCUUUUACAAACUAUAUGAGAUCAUAUAAGUUCAGUGAAGAUUAUAGUUCAUAUACA